AGAAUCAACGCUGGCGGCGUGCCUAACACAUGCAAGUCGCACGAGAAAGGGGAGCAAUCCCUGAGUAAAGUGGCGCACGGGUGAGUAACACGUGACUAACCUACCUCCGAGUGGGGAAUAACUGAGAGAAACUCUUAGCUAAUACCGCAUAACACUUACGAGUCAAAGCAGCAAUGCGCUUGGAGAGGGGGUCGCGGCAGAUUAGUUAGUGGCGGGGUAAUGGCCCACCAAGACGAUGAUCUGUA
RNAcentral lists this ribosomal RNA (245 nucleotides) under uncultured bacterium. RNAcentral describes it as "partial small subunit ribosomal RNA". It matches the Rfam family "Bacterial small subunit ribosomal RNA", at positions 26 to 285 of the family's 1533-position model. The record is from RNAcentral.